CAGCAAGUAUCUUCCUGAGGGUGGCAUAAUCUCUCGUUGCAAUGGCCUUGUGCACAGAACUAUGGACAUAUUUUGAAAUAUCAAUCCCCGCCAUGCCUCAGGAGUAUAUAAAGAUGAAACCAGACAAUAACAUACACAAUCAAAACCUCAAUUCUAUCAUCCAACGUUGAAUAUGAUUGCUAAUCACCGCCCCAAAUUAUAACCUAAAAAAACAGGAGGUAACAUAAUCAACACCCAUCAACCAUUUGCUCUGCAUGAACCACUGAAUUUUUAAUAGAAGAAAUGGACCCAGUUCAAAAACUGGGUGCCAAGAUGACAAUAUGAGAAAUAACUAGCAAUCUUCCCGAAAAGAGAAUCAGACCCAGUUCAAGUUUCACCCAGGUAGCACAAGAAAAUAACACAGCGAGAAAACUGCAGCUAUCCUCAAGAAGUACAAGCAAAGAAUUUUGCUUGGUCCAAAGCAGGAAAAGGAUCCAAUAGGCCAAGAAAUCUCACCUUCUUCUUCUCAAAGAUGCUGCACAAAGAGACUCGAGCACC
RNAcentral lists this unclassified non-coding RNA (537 nucleotides) under Hevea brasiliensis (rubber tree). The record is from RNAcentral. Lineage: Eukaryota; Viridiplantae; Streptophyta; Magnoliopsida; Malpighiales; Euphorbiaceae.